RNAcentral lists this long non-coding RNA (265 nucleotides) under Lathyrus oleraceus (garden pea). RNAcentral describes it as "Pisum sativum (pea) long non-coding RNA (PSAT_LNC016906)". The record is from RNAcentral. Lineage: Eukaryota; Viridiplantae; Streptophyta; Magnoliopsida; Fabales; Fabaceae.
AGAAAGAAAUCGGGAACAAUUGAAAAAUCCACUGGAGUAACACACUCAUAAAUGGGACAGAGACUCUAGAGACUUUACUGGGGAGUAAAGGGAUAAAAAUGCGUCAGCAGGUCACGACUUGAAACUUGCUGAGAGACACAAAGGAAAUCCAUGAAAUAAAUCAAUGGAAAGACUCGAGCUGACUCAAAGAUGCAUGUAUUGGGGAAUAUGCCAAUACAGCAAAAACUUAUCCGUAACGGAUACUUCAGAUAAAAAUCCGGACUCG